UCGUCUGUGGCGCGAGCGUCGCACCUCCUCCUCAACCUCCUCGAUCCGCGAUGCCCUGACUGCACUGCGCACGUGCGCCUCGCGAGCCAUGGCCGCCUUUUGCCGAGCUGCGGGAUCGACGUCUGACCGCCACCAUGACCAGCCUCUUGCUAAGGUCCCGGUCGCAGUCUCGUGUGCCUUUGGACCUUGGGAGCGACUGGGUGAUUAUAUGCCAGGUAAUCUAUUUUGCUGAAUUUGUUCAGAAGGAAAAUCCUUGAGGUACAACACUGACCCGCUUCCUUGCUGUCUCAUCUGUUUUGGUUGAGCUAGACGCCAAAAGCAAUAUUGCAACACCAUGCGUGAGGAACAUGAUUCUGCCAGUAUUUAAGCAUUAUACUUGCUAACACUGAGAGCUUAAUUAUCUUUGAUGCAACCAGUCCGUCCAAGCAUCCAAAUGUACGAUUCAUGUGCCUAGAAUCAGUACUUUUGCAUGUCUGAUGCAUGAAGAAAUAUCCAAAUUCGGCCAUUAAUUUCCCUUUUAGUACUUACUAAUGUUUUUUUAUUGUUUUGGUUGAUCCAGAGUUGAUUUGGGAUGUAGAGAUUAAAGAACAGUAGGGCGUCAGGUUCAGAAUUGCCUUGGUAUCUUCCAGUGUGGGACGAUGUUGAUUGUCGGGAUUUGAAGAUAAGUGUGCCCCAUCCCGUGGCUGAGCCUGUCGGUUUCGCACAGUGGCUGCACGACACCUCAUGGACCCGAUGUGAAGGUAGCAUAUACUAUUCUACAGUGUUUGCCCUCUGAAAUCUUAAUUGUUGGUUGUACAGUUAGUGCUAAACUGCAGUAAUCUACUGCACUUGCAUCUGAAUUUUACAUUUAAUAAGUUAAUGCUUGAGAGUUAAGAUAGAUCAGUAAUCUGGUUGGGGCUCUAUCUUUGUGGCAAUUUGGCAACCGUUGCUAGAGGUGAUAAAUCUGCAAGCAUAAAGUCAAUGUCCUGCUAUGCCGCAUAAUUACAGUGCUUUCACAUUAUGGUAAAUUUAUUUCCUAAAAGUAAAAUCUUUGUCGUGCCCAAUUCAUGGUGCAGGACAAGUAAGCCAUCCACACGAAGUCGGCGGCAGCAAGGGUGUGGGGCGUCGGGAGGAGCAUCUGGGUUGAAGGUUCUGGCCCUCGCCAUUGAGACUACCGUGUUCGUCGCCGAGUACAUCUGGUAUGUACGCAACGAACCUCCCUAAUGCAAUGUCACUGCUGUUUAUUUCAUCUUUUGAUUGCGGCAGACUAUAUUCCACUAAUGCACAUUAGGGAGUAGCUUUGGGAUAGGGGCCAAACCUGCAUAUUUUGAUCAAUUAUUUUUAUUAGAUUAGCAAUGGGAGCUUACUGUUCAGUGAGGAUUUUCCCCCUUAAAGUCAUAUUGUUAAUAUCCAAAAAAAUUAAUGGGUGGGUGGUGAUGUCCCACUGCUUUGCCCCUUUAAUUCCAGCACUUAAAUAAGAAUUGGAGGGCAGACGUUGCACAAAUGGAUCAUGUGGCAUUUACUACUGUUGUAUUAUCAUAUCUAGCAUCUCUCUAUAAAAAAUAAAUCUAGCAUUAGUUUUGAACUUAUGAUGAUGUAAGGUAAACACACAGGCAUAUCUUCGUCAUAGUUGCAUCCUUUAUAGCAGAGAUUUUGUUAUGAAAAAAUUAUUUUGUUGAUGGAAGUCUUUGUGCUUCUGUCACUUAGGACGUGAAGUUUUUGUAGACAAUCUUAGAACGUGAAGUGGGAUGCAACAUCUAUAGAUCUACUGACACUGAAAGGUGGUUGUUAGUUACGUUCUGAUUGUGCCAAUCAAUAAUACACAAUUGUUACUAGGGUUCGGCUACGGAUGCCAUCCAUCAACUCAUGUUUUAAAGUGUGCUUCUGAGAUGCAAUCCGAUCUCUCUAUCUUUCUCGCUGAGAUGUAGAGGAGCUCGGUGUUUUAGGGUCUGGCUGUUGCUGCAGGGGAAGGUGGAGCUGCGAGGAAACAAGACAGGUGGACAAUGCGACAGGAAGCAAGAAUGAAUUUCUAAUCAAUCUACUGUCUCCCUUGAGUCGGGGGGAACGUACCACGCACCACGUUGUGUUUAUUGAUCUGGAAUCCUAGAGGAUCACCGACCCUCAUAAUUCAGUAUCGAGAUGAUCUCCUUAAUUUCUCAAAUGUGUUUUAUUAAAUUGGAUUCCUGUAAUUAUCCUUGCUCUAAUUUGAUAGUUUUACCCUCCCGAGCAUGUUGUGCUUCCAUAAAAACAUGAAUAUUUCUCAGCCAUUUUAUUGAAAAUGUAGUCGUAUGCUUUCACAUUGACUCUGGAUAUUCUCCUAAACGAAGGUCAAGACCAAUUGAUUUUAUCGGCAACAGGAGGCGCUUAUCAGUCGCCAUCAAGUGCCUCAACCAGUGCGGCGUCCAGGUACACACAUUGCUUCAUCUCCUGUGUUAUCUGAUCGUCUAGACAAUAUAUCCAUGGGUGACCCCUGUACUCACCUCAUCUCCAGAUUAGAACAUAAGUGUCCGUAGGAGGGUAGGAUCUAGGCAACUGCAGUAUUGAUUGUCCAGCUAGGCAACAAAGUCGAUGGGGCAAAUAACAAAAUCUUCAUAUUAAGUUAUAUUCGAAAGUCAGUAGACUUUUCAUGAUUGCCAGUGGUAAAACAAGCAUAUAUUUCUUUUGAUUAUUGACAUAGCACAGCUUAGUAGAGUGGACCAACCAACAUUGGGUUUGGGAGGUCAUUUAAUAGGAAACACUUCGCUGCAAGUUUCUUCACCAUUGAACACAAUUCAUCACAAGACUUUAUAUUGUUGGCUGUCAUGCAUGUACGUUUGCAACUAAAUAAUUACAGGAUGUUGUGUGCUUGUUCUAUGUCCAGCAGUAAAGAUGUUUGAAGUUUUGUACCAGUUUCCAAUAGAUCAUUUCCUACAACAAUAUUUGUUUUGCAAUCCAAACAAGUAAAUGUCUUGUAAAGAAGUAGAUGUUUAUGCAUAUCAACACACCAUUCAAGUUAUUUACAGAAUGAUUUUCUUGGAGCGUUCAUAAUUUCACGUAUGUUUACAUCAUUAUUCAUGUGUGGGUUGUAUUGUGUUUUCUUUCGUGGGGUGCCGGAUGCGCUACUGACGGUACUAGCAUGUUUGGGCUGGUGAGACAGAGAUGGUAUGCGGAGUAAGAAGAGUGAUUUAAGGGGAGAGAACAAUGGAUAAAGGAAAUCACAUUACUAAUAGAAUG
Molecule: long non-coding RNA, 3192 nt
Filed under: Triticum aestivum (bread wheat)
Lineage: Eukaryota; Viridiplantae; Streptophyta; Magnoliopsida; Poales; Poaceae
Description: long non-coding RNA (TAES_LNC002861)
Source: RNAcentral